GAUGAACGCUGGCGGUAUGCUUAACACAUGCAAGUCGUACGAAGUGCGAUGGGGUUUACUCUAUCGUAUGGCAGUGGCGGACGGGUGCGUAACGCGUAAGAACUUACCUUUUGGCGAGGGACAACCGCGGGAAACUGCGGCUAAUACCUCAUAGAGCUGAGGAGCGAAAGGUGAAAACCACCAAAAGAGAGGCUUGCGUCUGAUUAGCUAGUUGGUGAGGGUAAUGGCCUCCCAAGGCGACGAUCAGUAGCUGGUCUGAGAGGAUGAUCAGCCACACUGGAACUGAGACACGGUCCAGACUCCUACGGGAGGCAGCAGUGAGGAAUUUUCCGCAAUGGGCGCAAGCCUGACGGAGCAAUACCGCGUGGAGGAGGAAGGCCCGUGGGUCGUAAACUCCUUUUCUCAGAGAAGAACACAAUGACGGUAUCUGA
This 431-nucleotide ribosomal RNA is filed under the name uncultured alga. Its description in RNAcentral is "bacterial SSU rRNA". It matches the Rfam family "Bacterial small subunit ribosomal RNA", at positions 28 to 482 of the family's 1533-position model. The record is from RNAcentral.